Molecule: ribosomal RNA, 465 nt
Filed under: uncultured bacterium
Lineage: Bacteria
Description: partial 16S ribosomal RNA
Rfam family: Bacterial small subunit ribosomal RNA
Source: RNAcentral
CUACGGGGGGCAGCAGUGGGGAAUAUUGGACAAUGGGGGAAACCCUGAUCCAGCAAUGCCGCGUGUGUGAAGAAGGCCUGCGGGUUGUAAAGCACUUUCGGUUGGGAGGACUGCUUCUAGCACUAAUAUUGUUGGAAGUUGACGUUACCUUCAGAAGAAGCACCGGCUAACUCCGUGCCAGCAGCCGCGGUAAUACGGAAGGUGCAAGCGUUAAUCGGAAUUACUGGGCGUAAAGCGCGCGUAGGCGGCUAGAUCAGUCGGGUGUGAAAGCCCCGGGCUUAACCUGGGAACUGCAUCCGAUACUGUCUAGCUUGAGUACAGGAGAGGAGAGUGGAAUUCCACAUGUAGCGGUGAAAUGCGUAGAUAUGUGGAGGAACACCAAUGGCGAAGGCAGCUCUCUGGCCUGAUACUGACGCUGAGGUGCGAAAGCGUGGGGAGCAAACAGGAUUAGAUACCCCAGUAGUC